This is a long non-coding RNA of Mesocricetus auratus (golden hamster), 840 nucleotides long. RefSeq lists it as uncharacterized. Lineage: Eukaryota; Metazoa; Chordata; Mammalia; Rodentia; Cricetidae. The transcript has 3 exons. The record is from RefSeq and is a predicted model, not a curated record.
GGCAUCGGUAGCCUAGAGUUCGUGAAAUGUGGUUGUCAGCCGAUGCGUCUAAGAUGCGGUGGGCAUCGAUAGCCUAGAGUUCGUGAAAUGUGGUCUUCAGGAGUAAGAAGCCAGGAGCUGAAGGGAGGAGACACGGCUGACAGGACUCCGCAAGAACCGUGGAAAGAGACGGCUGGAGUUGGCAUGCUCUGUCUCUGACCUUCAGCCCAGCAGUAAGACUGAGAAGUCUGUCCUUUGGAGGCUUGAGGCUGCCAGACACGCUUCCGCCUCUGCCUGCGGGGGAAGGGGAAGCUUCUGGUAGACUUGCUGUAAGGCAGAAUACUCUCAGUGUUGCGCAAGGCAGACGGCCUUUGGGGGAAGGGAGCUUUGCUGCUAAUGGUUAGGGGGACCAGCCCUGGUGUAGAUUCUCACAACAAUCUGUGGUUUCCUGGGGACUCGGCCCAGACUAGGCCUUUGAAGAACCCCAAGAUGGGAAGCGUCCAGUCCAGAGACGUCCAGAGCAGAGCGCUUUGGAAGUUCAGAUGCGGAGAAAGAUAUCUAGAACUUCCAGAACAAGUGCAGACAGAAUCCAUUUCAGUUUUGUAGCAGAAGCUCUAGUGUUCUGGCAAUGUCCUCACUUCUCUUGUUGAUUUCCAGCUCUCACUGUAGCCCAAGUUGGCCUCAUAGCAUCCUUUCUGCAUCAUCUCUAGUGCUGUGGAUCCAGCUGUGAGCCUCCACUCCUGCCUGGACCACCCGUUUCUAUUGUGGAAUUAACAAUUCAUAGGAAAUACGGCUCUAAAGAGUGACAGAAGCUUUCAAAGUUGAUCUUAAGAAUGCAAUGGAUGACAUGAAUUGAUCUGA